AUCGCUCCUUGGCCUUUUGGCUAAGAUCAAGUGUAGUGUCUGUUCUUAUCAGUUUAAUAUAUAUAAAUUAUAGUAAGUAGCCCACAGAAAUUAUUUAAUAAUUAUAUUACUAUUAUGAUUAUUAUAUAACUGAAUGUUCUGGUAGCUGUGACUGUUUUCAGGUACUCUCC
RNAcentral lists this small nuclear RNA (170 nucleotides) under Fukomys damarensis (Damara mole-rat). RNAcentral's name for it is "U2 spliceosomal RNA". It matches the Rfam family "U2 spliceosomal RNA". From Rfam's summary of the family: U2 is a small nuclear RNA (snRNA) component of the spliceosome (involved in pre-mRNA splicing). Complementary binding between U2 snRNA (in an area lying towards the 5' end but 3' to hairpin I) and the branchpoint sequence (BPS) of the intron results the bulging out of an unpaired adenosine, on the BPS, which initiates a nucleophilic attack at the intronic 5' splice site, thus starting the first of two transesterification reactions that mediate splicing. The record is from Rfam by way of RNAcentral. Lineage: Eukaryota; Metazoa; Chordata; Mammalia; Rodentia; Bathyergidae.